AGAGCGGGCAUGGCCAAACUUGGCCCCCCAGCUGUUUUGGGACUACAGUUCCCAUCAUCCCUGACCACUGGUCCUGUUAGCUAGAGAUGAUGGGAGUUUUAGUCCCAAAACAGCUGGAGGGCCAAGUUUGGCCAUGCCUGGUUU
Molecule: microRNA precursor, 144 nt
Filed under: Podarcis lilfordi (Lilford's wall lizard)
Lineage: Eukaryota; Metazoa; Chordata; Lepidosauria; Squamata; Lacertidae
Source: RNAcentral